GACGAACGCUGGCGGCGUGCUUAACACAUGCAAGUCGAACGGAAAGUCCCUGCUUUUGUGGGGUGCUCGAGUGGCGAACGGGUGAGUAACACGUGAGUAACCUGCCCUUGACUUUGGGAUAACUUCAGGAAACUGGGGCUAAUACCGGAUAGGAGCUCCUGCUGCAUGGUGGGGGUUGGAAAGUUUCGGCGGUUGGGGAUGGACUCGCGGCUUAUCAGCUUGUUGGUGGGGUUGUGGCUUACCAAGGCUUUGACGGGUAGCCGGCCUGAGAGGGUGACCGGCCACAUUGGGACUGAGAUACGGCCCAGACUCCUACGGGAGGCAGCAGUGGGGAAUAUUGCACAAUGGGCGGAAGCCUGAUGCAGCAACGCCGCGUGCGGGAUGACGGCCUUCGGGUUGUAAACCGCUUUCGCCUGUGACGAAGCGUGAGUGACGGUAAUGGGUAAAGAAGCACCGGCUAACUACGUG
This 468-nucleotide ribosomal RNA is filed under the name uncultured bacterium. RNAcentral describes it as "partial 16S ribosomal RNA". It matches the Rfam family "Bacterial small subunit ribosomal RNA", at positions 28 to 507 of the family's 1533-position model. The record is from RNAcentral.